AACUUUUAGAGGAUGACAGAUAUCCGUUGGUCUUAGGAAUCAAAAAU
RNAcentral lists this transfer RNA (47 nucleotides) under Muntiacus reevesi (Reeves' muntjac). RNAcentral's name for it is "partial tRNA-Leu". Lineage: Eukaryota; Metazoa; Chordata; Mammalia; Artiodactyla; Cervidae. The record is from RNAcentral.